ACUCAUCACCCUCCGCCCUCCUGGCUGAGAACAGACAGACGUCUUCCGGGACCACAGAGCAUGAGAAAGAGAAAGGGAAGAUUGAUCUCGGUAGAAGAAGGCAAAUCUUCUCCAGGAAGGGAAACCCCCAGCCCUGUAAAUCCGUCACCAACAACUGUGAAGAAACGCCACCACCUUCUGGGAAGCAGCGCUGCCUGGAGCUGACAGAGGAAGGCCCCGCCCUUCCCUCAGCUUCUCCUGGUCACCUUGGGUACCCCUUCCGCUCUCUUCAUUGGCUGAAGGUUCAAACUUCUCCCGGACGAGACACCCGAAGGACUCAACUCCUGUUACAGGUGAAGGAGGAAAAGCUGACUGAUCGACAUAGAGACACAUGCCUGGUGGCGAGAGGAGAGAGACCAGGGUCCCUGGGGAGCAGAGCCAGCCAGCAGAUGCUCGGUGGUCACCCAGAAAAGAUCAGGUGAGUUCACAUCCACCUCUGAGAGCACCAGGAAUGGGGGAAGGACAGCUUUACCACCUCCUACUUCUUGAUGGUCACCUUUCUGGACCUCAGGGCAUACAUCACUAACAGGAAGAGCCUGUGGCAGCCUGGAAAAGCAGCUCGCGACAUUAAUUGGAAAUUUACCAAAAGUCAAAGUCACAAACAGGCUCUGAGUAAAAGCUGCGUGGACUCUUCCACGUUAAAAAUACACAUAUGCGUAAAUGCGCAGCAGCAGGUGAGCAUUGUUAACAGCGGCAGCAUCGACAAGAUCAGUGUCACCAUCAUCAUCAAUAUCAGCAUCGUGAUCAACCUAGCAACAGCAGCAUCAACCUUGACAUCAGCAUCAGCAUCAACAUCGACAUCAGCAGCAUCAACAUCAGUAUCAUCAGCAGCAUCAGCCUGACAGCAUCAGCAUCAACAUAAUAUCAGCAUCAGCAUCAACAUCGACAUCAGCAGCAUCAACAUCAGUAUCAUCAGCAGCAUCAGCCUGACAGCAUCAGCAUCAACACUGAUAUCAGCAUCAGCAUCAACAUCGACAUCAGCAGCAUCAACAUCAGUACCAUCAGCAGCAUCAGCCUGAGAGCAUCAGCAUCAACAUAAUAUCAGCAGCAUCAUCAUUAUCAACAGCAGCAGCAACGUGUUCUUAACUAGCUCAGGGCCAGGCAUCCCUGGUCAUGCCUCUGCCCACCUGCAUCGGAGAGUGGAAAGAGAUUACUCUUCCUAUAACAGAACGAGUUGUUUUGUGUGUCUUCCUGUGAUCCUGGGCGUGUUUGCUCACCUCUGAGGCCCGGCCCCCCUGCUGAGCCAUGAGACCUUCCUGCCCCAGGCCUGUCUCAUCCCUAGCACAUUCCUGCUGCCAUGUCUGUUCUGCUCUUUUCUUUUCCUGAAGCUCCUCUGCUUCCCGCCUCACCCGUACAGGUCUGCCCACCUUCUCCCAGAAGCCUUGCACUCCCCUUGCCUUCACUCACCCCAAUUCUCCACCUUGGCCUGUACCUCCCACCUUGGGAAUUAGCUGCUCCUGUGGCCUCCCAGCUGGUGAUUCCCACUGUGUAAAGCUGGCAGGUUUUUCUUUGCGGCCUCCACGUGCUGCCUCUGCCUCAGGUCUGGAGACACAGGGGUUCAGCUGGGGGCCCGCCUCACUCAGCUCUUCUCUCCAGAGACAGGGAGCAGGGUUAGGGUGGCCGUAUCGCAGCUGCCAGCCUUGACAUGACCCCUUUUCCCAGGGGUCUUGCCUUUUCCCUCACCCAUAUCCCUUUUCCCAGGAAUUGUUUAAUUCAGUCAAGUUAAGUUAGUUACUGAGUUACCUGGUGCUGUUAUUCACUAUAGGUAGUUUAUCACGUA
Lagenorhynchus albirostris (white-beaked dolphin) is the source of this 1819-nucleotide long non-coding RNA. RefSeq lists it as uncharacterized. The record is from RefSeq and is a predicted model, not a curated record. NCBI's taxonomy places the organism in Eukaryota, Metazoa, Chordata, Mammalia, Artiodactyla, Delphinidae. The transcript is spliced from 4 exons.